GCUCCGAUGGUGAAAUUGGUAGACACUGGAGACUUAAAAUCUCCCGCUUGCAAGAGCGUGCCGGUUCGACCCCGGCUCGGAGCACCA
RNAcentral lists this transfer RNA (87 nucleotides) under Duganella phyllosphaerae. RNAcentral's name for it is "tRNA-Leu". It matches the Rfam family "tRNA". Rfam says of the family: Transfer RNA (tRNA) molecules are approximately 80 nucleotides in length. Their secondary structure includes four short double-helical elements and three loops (D, anti-codon, and T loops). Further hydrogen bonds mediate the characteristic L-shaped molecular structure. tRNAs have two regions of fundamental functional importance: the anti-codon, which is responsible for specific mRNA codon recognition, and the 3' end, to which the tRNAs corresponding amino acid is attached (by aminoacyl-tRNA synthetases). tRNAs cope with the degeneracy of the genetic code in two manners: having more than one tRNA (with a specific anti-codon) for a particular amino acid; and 'wobble' base-pairing, i.e. permitting non-standard base-pairing at the 3rd anti-codon position. The record is from RNAcentral. Lineage: Bacteria; Pseudomonadati; Pseudomonadota; Betaproteobacteria; Burkholderiales; Oxalobacteraceae.